RNAcentral lists this small RNA (27 nucleotides) under Bombyx mori (domestic silkworm). Its description in RNAcentral is "ovarian small RNA-23006". The record is from RNAcentral. Lineage: Eukaryota; Metazoa; Arthropoda; Insecta; Lepidoptera; Bombycidae.
UAGUCGCGAUAAUGGUAAAAUCGUUUG